RNAcentral lists this ribosomal RNA (253 nucleotides) under uncultured bacterium. Its description in RNAcentral is "partial 16S ribosomal RNA". It matches the Rfam family "Bacterial small subunit ribosomal RNA", at positions 524 to 776 of the family's 1533-position model. The record is from RNAcentral.
UACGAAGGGGGCUAGCGUUGCUCGGAAUUACUGGGCGUAAAGCGCACGUAGGCGGAUUCUUAAGUCAGGGGUGAAAUCCUGGAGCUCAACUCCAGAACUGCCUUUGAUACUGAGGACCUUGAGUUCGGGAGAGGUGAGUGGAACUGCGAGUGUAGAGGUGAAAUUCGUAGAUAUUCGCAAGAACACCAGUGGCGAAGGCGGCUCACUGGCCCGAUACUGACGCUGAGGUGCGAAAGCGUGGGGAGCAAACAGG